This 468-nucleotide ribosomal RNA is filed under the name uncultured bacterium. Its description in RNAcentral is "partial 16S ribosomal RNA". It matches the Rfam family "Bacterial small subunit ribosomal RNA", at positions 28 to 507 of the family's 1533-position model. The record is from RNAcentral.
GACGAACGCUGGCAGCGUGCUUAACACAUGCGAGUCGAACGGAAAGGCCCUGCUUUUGUGGGGUGCUCGAGUGGCGAACGGGUGAGUAACACGUGAGUAACCUGCCCUUGACUUUGGGAUAACUUCAGGAAACUGGGGCUAAUACCGGAUAGGAGCUCCUGCUGCAUGGUGGGGGUUGGAAAGUUUCGGCGGUUGGGGAUGGACUCGCGGCUUAUCAGCUUGUUGGUGGGGUAGUGGCUUACCAAGGCUUUGACGGGUAGCCGGCCUGAGAGGGUGACCGGCCACAUUGGGACUGAGAUACGGCCCAGACUCCUACGUGAGGCAGCAGUGGGGAAUAUUGCACAAUGGGCGGAAGCCUGAUGCAGCAACGCCGCGUGCGGGAUGACGGCCUUCGGGUUGUAAACCGCUUUCGCCUGUGACGAAGCGUGAGUGACGGUAAUGGGUAAAGAAGCACCGGCUAACUACGUG